GUUUGAUCCUGGCUCAGAAAGAACGUUGGCGGCGUGGAUUACGCAUGCAAGUCGGGGGAAUCUCCCGCAAGGGAGGGAACCGGCAUAAGGGGCAGUAAGGCAUGGGAACCUACCCGGGGGUUCGGGAUAGCCACCAGAAAUGGUGGGUAAUACCGGAUGACCUCGUGAGAGCGAACAUUCAUCGCCCCCGGAGGGGCCCAUGUGAUAUUAGCUAGUUGGGGGGAUAACGGCUCACCAAGGCGAAGAUGUCUAGCGGGCGUGAGAGCACGACCCGCGCCACUCGCACUGAGACACUGGCGAGACACCUACGGGUGGCUGCAGUCCAGGAUCUUCGGCAAUGGGCGAAAGCCUGACCGAACGAUGCCGCGUGCGCGAUGAACGCCUUCGGGUUGUAAAGCGCGAAAGUGGGGAGAAAAGCCCGCAAGGGUGUGAUCUAUCCACAGUAAGCUCGGGCUAAGUUCGUGCCAGCAGCCGCGGUAAGACGAACCGAGCGAACGUUGUUCGGAAUCACUGGGCUUAAAGGGCGCGUAGGCGGGCUGUCAAGUCUGGGGUGAAAUCCCGCGGCUCAACCGUGGAACUGCCUCAGAUACUGACGGCCUCGAGGGAGGUAGGGGCGAGCGGAACUGUGAGUGGAGCGGAGAAAUGCGUUGAUAUUCACAGGAACUCCGGUGGAGAAGGCGGCUCGCUGGACCUUUUCUGACGCUGAGGCGCGAAAGCUAGGGGAGCACACGGGAUUAGAUACCCCGGUAGUCCUAGCCCUAAACGUUGGGUACUAGGUAGUAGACUAGACAUGGGUUUACUGCCGAAGCAAAAGUGCUAAGUACCCCGCCUGGGGAGUAUGGUCGCAAGGCUGAAACUCAAAGGAAUUGA
Molecule: ribosomal RNA, 870 nt
Filed under: uncultured bacterium
Lineage: Bacteria
Description: bacterial SSU rRNA
Rfam family: Bacterial small subunit ribosomal RNA
Source: RNAcentral